CCAUACAUCCAUACCACCCUGAAUAUGCCCAAUCUUGUCUAAUCUUGAAGCUAAGCAUGGUCAUGCCUGAUUAGUACUUGGAUGGGAGAACAGGGGAGAAGACCAUAAGUUCUGGUAUUUU
RNAcentral lists this ribosomal RNA (121 nucleotides) under Erinaceus europaeus (western European hedgehog). The record is from RNAcentral. Lineage: Eukaryota; Metazoa; Chordata; Mammalia; Eulipotyphla; Erinaceidae.